GUGCCAGCAGCCGCGGUAAUUCCAGCUCCAAUAGCGUAUAUUAAAGUUGUUGUGGUUAAAAAGCUCGUAGUUGAACCUUGGGCCUGGCUGGCCGGUCCGCCUCACCGCGUGCACUGGUCCGGCCGGGCCUUUCCCUCUGUGGAACCCCAUACCCUUCACUGGGCGUGGCGGGGAAACAGGACAUUUACUUUGAAAAAAUUAGAGUGCUCCAGGCAGGCCUAUGCUCGAAUACAUUAGCAUGGAAUAAUAAAAUAGGACGCGCGGUUCUAUUUUGUUGGUUUAUAGGACCGCCGUAAUGAUUAAUAGGGACAGUCGGGGGCAUCAGUAUUCAACUGUCAGAGGUGAAAUUCUUGGAUCAGUUGAAGACUAACUACUGCGAAAGCAUUUGCCAAGGAUGUUUUCAUUAAUCAGGAACGAAAGUUAGGGGAUCGAAGACGAUCAGAUACCGUCGUAGUCUUAACCAUAAACUAUGCCGACUAGGGAUCGGACGGUGUUAUUCAUGACCCGUUCGGCACCUUACGAGAAAUCAAAGUGCUUGGGCUCCAGGGGGAGUAUGGUCGCAAGGCUGAAACUUAAAGAAAUUGACGGAAGGGCACCACCAGGGGUGGAGCCUGCGGCUUAAUUUGACUCAACACGGGGAAACUCACCAGGUCCAGACACAAUAAGGAUUGACAGAUUGAGAGCUCUUUUCUUGAUUUUUGUGGGUGGUGAUGCAUGGCCGUUCUUAGUUGGUGGGGUGACUUGUCUGCUUAUUGCGAUAACGAACGAGAUCUUUAAUCU
RNAcentral lists this ribosomal RNA (780 nucleotides) under uncultured fungus. RNAcentral's name for it is "SSU rRNA". It matches the Rfam family "Eukaryotic small subunit ribosomal RNA", at positions 564 to 1350 of the family's 1831-position model. Lineage: Eukaryota; Fungi. The record is from RNAcentral.